This 468-nucleotide ribosomal RNA is filed under the name uncultured bacterium. RNAcentral's name for it is "bacterial SSU rRNA". It matches the Rfam family "Bacterial small subunit ribosomal RNA", at positions 27 to 507 of the family's 1533-position model. The record is from RNAcentral.
GGACGAACGCUGGCGGCGCGCCUAACACAUGCAAGUCGAACCGAGAGAGAGGGAGCUUGCUUCCUCGAUCGAGUGGCGAACGGGUGAGUAACGCGUGAGGAACCUGCCUCAAAGAGGGGGACAACAGUUGGAAACGACUGCUAAUACCGCAUAAGCCCACGACCCGGCAUCGGGAAGAGGGAAAAGGAGCAAUCCGCUUUGAGAUGGCCUCGCGUCCGAUUAGCUAGUUGGUGAGGUAACGGCCCACCAAGGCGACGAUCGGUAGCCGGACUGAGAGGUUGAACGGCCACAUUGGGACUGAGACACGGCCCAGACUCCUACGGGAGGCAGCAGUGGGGAAUAUUGCACAAUGGGGGAAACCUUGAUGCAGCGACGCCGCGUGGAGGAAGAAGGUCUUCGGAUUGUAAACUCCUGUUGUUGAGGAAGAUAAUGACGGUACUCAACAAGGAAGUGACGGCUAACUACGUG